GUUGUAAAGGUUACAGAUUCUGAAAAUGGAAAGAAUUAAUGUAUUAAUUGGUAUCAAAGCGAGAUUGUAUUAAUUAUUUUAUGAAUAAAGGUUAUAAUCAUAUGAAGGUUGUAUAGUAAUGCACCAGGUCCGAGGUAACAGGUACCCGGAUUUGGGGGCGUUACAUGAUCCAUAUCAAAAUGCUAUUUAUGAACAUAGAGUUCAACUUCUGACUUUAAUCAUUACCUGGAUAUUCGCAACGUAAUCCAACAUCUACAUACUCACUAUACACCACCUUUUAUACACUAUUGUCAUCACAUAAAUCUACUUUACAAAAAAUGAUAAAGUUAUAUUUCAUGUUCACACGAAUACUUUUAGCCAACAUCCAUCUAUUGGACAACUCAAAGUUUAUACAAUUCAAUAAAACUAUGUUACAACAUGUAGCAUCGACUUGGUAUAAACUAAAUUUGAUAAAACAAUACGCCUUUACUAAGCAUGUCGUAUUUGGAACCUUCGCUGCUAUAAUUUCUGAUAAAUCAACUUUCAUCUGCAAAUUUUAUAUUUUACAAUGUUGAGCAAAACGACCAAGCAAGUCUAACAGUUUUCAUGCAUCACGUUUCAUAUAUACUAUGCAUUUCAAUCAUGCAUCAUAUAGCUCAUGUUAUGCAUUUUAUACAUGCAUCAUAAAUCUUAUGCAAUGCAUUUACAUAUGCUUCACACAUCUCAUAAUAUGCAUCUUCAUAUGCGUACUUUCAAUUUCAUCAUAUUAUUUUUAGAUCAUACUUCACAUGUUACCAAACGUAACAUUUGUCACAUAUCUCCAUUCACAUAUCACAAACAAAUUGAGUUCCAUAACUCAAUUAACUUUAGUCAUAAUUUGACUUUAGCGAUUCGUAUAACAUUGACAUUCAAAAACAUGAAUUUUAACAUAUUCACAAGGAUUUCAUCAUAAUGCGAUAACAAUUGCACAUAACUAACAUCGAGUUCACAUAAUACAAGCAAACUGAAAAAUUUGUCUUUAUUGCAAAUUGCUUCCGGGUCUACUUGAUAUCGCGUACUCAAAGCAAUGUUAUCUCUGUCAGGAAUAUGCAUGAGAAUGUUAUUCCUUAUUUAUAUAAUUAAAUGAUGAAGAUGAUGAAGUUAAUGAAUGAAUAUGCAAAUGUGUUUGCAUUGAUAAAAGUCGUAAAGUCCUUAAUAGAUGAUAGACAAUACGGACAAUGACUUAGAUUGAAAUGAUCAAAUAUGUUAGGUUGAUCGAAUAUGAAUGAAUAGUUUUGUAAAAGUCCUUCAAAAGAUCAUGAUGUACAAGGACUAUGAAUAGAAAGAUCAAACUUGUUAGGUUGAUCUUAUGAAGUAUAAUAGAUAGGCAUGUUUGAUCGAAUAACGCUGAAUCAGUCACUAUAGUCUGCCAAGAAAGUAAAACAAGAAUCGUAAGCCUCACUCGAUAUUGCUGAAGCCAGCUAAGAGAUUGUUGAAGCCAAGAAAGAAUCGCAGUCUGUCAAAGAAAGUCACUCUCGAGAUCGUAGAGACAGUUUGCUGAGUGUCUGCCGAGCCAAGUGAAGAAUCGCAAGCUUCGCUCAAAAUCAUGGAAUCUACAAGUCAUCACCAAUGAAAAUCGUAGUCAUUUAAGUGCUCGUAAUACUAAAGUAGAAUCGUAGAGCACUCUACGAUUCUCAACAGAUGAACAAUCCUGAAGUGCAUACAUAGAUCUCAUCCUCUGAUAAGUGUAAUCAUGUUUCAGUAUGCAAUCUACUUGAAGAAUAUCAGAAAGCAUUCUCUGAAUGGCCGGAAAGUAAACAGAAGAUCAAAACACCAACUUUAUAUAUAGCAAGGCUAAUAGAGAAUUGAAAAGCUAUUCAGAAAGAGUCUCAUCAGAAGACAACGAUCGUAGUGCUUACCAAACAGCAAAAGGGUCUGUCAAAGAAACUACAAAGAUAAUGGUAAACCUGCCACAGAGUAAGUAGAAGACAAACUAGGAGGAUGUCAAUGCUCAGCCUCACCAUGGAGUAUGAUCAAGAGAUCAUAAGGCUGAAGAUUAAAGAAGCUGAGCAUAACUAAUCAAAAGGGAUAUGCAAACCAAAGUGUCAAAGCAGUCAUUCAACUUGUUAGUUCUUGAAGCAAGGCAAGACAAGCAUGAUCGUAGAACAGACUGCAAGAGCAAAGUACAAGAUGGUAAAGCGUUGAGCACUCUCAGAAUCAUAAGAGAUGUCAAGGUCAAAUCAUCCUACGAUUUCCACAGACAAGCUAUGACCAAGUAAUCGUAGAGUUCAUAAAGGUCAACAUCAACAUCGUAGAGGGCGUUUGUCUGAUGAGUGAGAAUGUUUAAACAAAGAAGACCGACAUUCAAACGUUGUGAAUUGAGGAUCCCGAUAUACUCUCCAAACAUCCUUGAUGUAAAUCAAGGAAACAAAAAAAAGGGUGACUAGCUACUAAUCUGCUGAAGGUGACGUUUCAAAAGUGUUAGGUGAUAAAGCAGACUGUUGUGUCAGGCAAGUCAAAAAGGAGUUGUCACAUCAACUCAGUAUGUCUACAUCAAAGAUUUCAGAAUAGCUACAACAUUAAAUGCUCCAAAUAAAGCUCUUCAACGGAAGACUCCCAUCGACUAUGUUCCAACGAGAAGAUAAUAGAUGAAUCUAAAAAUAGCUGAAGCUUCAAAGAAGACAUAGUUAUUGACUUGAGAUGAAGUAAGUCAUAUAGAGUUUAAUAGAGAAAAGGUCUCAGUGAGAGUGAGACCACCACAGAAGAGUGAAUCAUAACUAAUGCGAGUCUUACAAUGAAAAAGCCUCACUCAAUACAAAGGACUAUGACAACGAAGUGACAUCUAUACUGAGAGCCGGAAGGCCAAGAAGAAAACAACUAGAGUGGCAGAUCAGAAAGCAAAAUACUUGAGUCACUCUACGUUUCACCAUGAACACACUGAGCUGAAGAUAAGAAGAUACAGAGCCGAAUCUGUUCACAAAACAACUAGUGUUCAAAGACGGCUAAGUACCUAAAAAAGACAAGUUGAUAUGAAAAGGCUUAGCAAUACCUCAACGGUAACAAUGUGCAAUGUUGAAUAUCAGAUGAAGACAAACAUCAACAACACAAAGAACAACAGCACCAAGGGAAGAAUCAGACUGCCAAUUACCAAUAAGAUGUCAAGUUGAAUGUACAUCUUAGCAGUCUAUUAGAUGUGAUCAAGUACUAAUGUUGAAUGCCUAAUGAUCACAAGAAGUCGCUAAGUACCAGAAGAUGAACAAGCUAAAUGUCAUCUUAGCAGCUCAACAACAACAAACAACCACUCAAGCAACCAGGGCCUGCAGGGUCCUUGUCUUAGUGACUAAACCAAAGUCAAGUCUGUUGAGCUUGCUGAGUACCGGAGGGUACAAGAGAUUCUAAGUCUGUCGAGCUUAGUCUACAGUUUUCAAGGCUGCUGGUCUUGAAGGAAUCUUAGUGAUUCGAAGUUAAUCAAAUCCUUAGUGGAAUUGCCUGCUUGUUGAAGCAGAAGAGUGGAUUAGGAGCAUUCAGUCUCUGAACCACUUACAACCUCUGGUGUAAUUUACUUUACGUCAUUUACACUCAGUACUAUAACUGUUAUAUCUGCUUGCAACUAAUUUAAUAUUAGAACUGCGUUUAAUGUUAUAUUCUUGAAGGGGAUCUUAAUUUAUUCUGAUGUGCAUAAAUUGAUUCCUCUAUCAUUAUCUGUUUAUCACUUAUCUAGAUAAAAGAAAAAGAAAAAUGUUUAAGGAUCUAUUCAACCCCCCUUCUAGAUCUAUUGUGUGCCCCCGGGAACUAACAAUCUCGUAUCGCACCUAUAUAGCAUACAUAAGGUUGUUGUGUAAGUUAAUGCAUUUAUAUCUCAUGAACUUUUGACUUAACUUUGUAUUUUUCAAGCUUAGUAAUUCAGUCUUAACUUUAUCAAAUAUAUUAGAUUUAUUUAUAUUAUUAUAGGUCAAACUACACUAUUAAAUGUCCAAUUAUGCCAUCAUAUGUCAUAAUAUAUCAGUCCUCCAAGUAUCGUUUUAAAAAGAAUUAUAAAACUCGUUUGACCUAUUUUAAUCGUUAAUGAACCUUGUUUAUCGUUUAAUCAUAAUUUCUUCGUUUCUUAUCCGUUUUGGUUUAUUCUUACGCCAAAUUAAAGCUUAUUGCAUCUACUUUAACAUCAUAUAGGCUCUGAUUUCAGUCCUACAGAAAAUUGCCCAAAGUUGCUGCCCAGAAUCUGUCUAAAUUCUAGAAAGGUUGAAUGACACUACUGUCCCUCUAAGUUGCCACCCACUUUCUAAGUCGUCCCUAAAGUUCAUGAAUUUUUGUCAAUUAGAUCCUUAAAGUAACAUUUUGUUGGCGUUCCAGUUUCUUCAGCCUAAUUUAACCUCAACCCGACCCAUUUUGACCCAACCCAGUUUGACCCAACCUAAAAUUCUAAUAUUUAAAAUAUAAAUUAUUUUAAAAAUAAUAAUUAUAUUUAACAUUUAAAAUAUAUAUAUUUAAUAUUUUAAAAUAAAUUAUUAUAUUUAAAAUAAUAAUAAUUUUAAUAUUUUAAAAUAAAAAAAAUUAUUAAAAAUAGCUAAUUUUGAUAUUUAAAAAUAAAAUAUUAGUUUUUCAAAAAAUUAAAUAAUAAUUAUAUUUAAUAUUUUUUUAAAUAAUUUUAAAAUAAAAAUUAUUGUCAAUAUUUUAAAAUAAUAAUUAUUUUUUAUAUUUAUAAUAAAAUAUUAUUUUUAAAAAGUUAUAAAGAUAAUUAUUAUUAUAAGGAAAAAUAUUAGAAAAUUAUAUUUUUUUUCAAAAAUGAGUAAAGUUUCAAAAAAUAUAGAUUCAAAAAAAUUACAUAAGAAAAUAAAACUUUAUGUUUUAAAAAUAAAUUAAUUUUUUUUUCAUUUUUUAUGUAAAAUUUAUUUUUAGAAUUUUUUUUAUUAUCUUUAAAAUUACUAUAUGUAUUCUUAAUAUUAGAAUUUUUAGAAACAAAAACUAAAAAUAGAAAUUAAAAUAUAAAAACAGUAAAAGAUAAAUAAAAAGUUGAUUCAAAAAUUUUUAAAUAAAUUUUUUUUUAAAAAUAAUUAUUAUUUUCUGAAAUAAAAAAUUAUAAUUUUUUAAAAAAUAAUUAAAAACUUUAGGGAUCUAAUCUUAAUAUUAAAUUUAAUUAUUAUUUAAUUUUUUUAAAAACGAAUAUUUUAUUUUAAAAUAUUAAAUAUUUAUUUUAAAUGUUAAAUAUAAUUAUUAUUUUAAAAUUAUUUUUAAAAUAAUAUUAUAUUCUAAAAUAUUAAAAAAUUGGGUUGGGUCAAACUGGGUCGGAUUUGGUCAAAAUGGGUCCGAUUGAGGUCAAAAUGGGUUGAAAGAACGGAAACGCCAACAAAAUGCCACAUUAAUGACCUAACUGACGAAAAUUAAACUUUAGGAACGAAUUUGAAAGUGUGUGACAACUUGGAGGAAUAGAAGUGUCAUUCAACCUUCUAGAAAUUCACAUUUUUGUGUUUCUCGGGCUAGUAUUGUGAAUUUUUCUCAUUCAUUAUACAUCGGAUUAAAGCCAUUUUUGGAUAUGUUCUACCUCAUACUGCGUUGUAUCGUUGUAUUUUUAAAAAUAUAACAUGUAUGAAAAGAAUUUGGCAAGUCUUCGAAACACUGGCCCGAAAACAGCCCAUUCACAACAGUUUUAGACUUGGAAAUUUCCAGAUUUCUAGCAACUUUGUUAUUUUCCUACCUAAUUUGCGAUUUAGUAACUUGCACACCAUACAUCCGAUUUACUUCAAUUUUGGAUAUGUUUGAGAUGUUAAUACAUACUCCCUCCGUCCCAUAUUUAAAUGUCUUAAUUUCUUUUUUAGGAUGUUCCAAAAUAAAUGUCCUAUUUCUAUAUUAGUAACUAUAUUUGUCAUAUUUUUCCCCUUAUACCCUCAUAAUCUUUUUACUCGACUUAAUUUUAUUGGAAAUUGAAUAAAUGUGAAAAUAUUUAUAUUGGGAACUGGUGUAUAGUAUACUACUUUCAUUCUAACAUCUCUUUUUAUUUUAUGUACUUAUUGGGAAUGUGAGAGUUACAAAAAAAAUCUAGAUAAUUAAAUGAUGUGGGAAAGUAAUUAUUGGGGUCAUAGAAAAGUGAAGAAAUACUUUAAUUAAUAAGUAAUUAAAAGGGUAACUUAGGUAAAAGAAAAUUGUAUUAAUCAACUUGCCGAAACAAAUUAGGACAUUUAUUUUGGGACAGAAGGAGUAGUAUUUUAGAAAAAUACUAAUUUCCCAAAAUGAAUUCUCUAAGGCAUACUUAUAGAGGUUCAAAGUUCCCAGUUCUUCACAAAUUUUAGCUUGAAACUAAUUUGGUAAAAUCUUUUGAUUUCACUUUUAAACUGAAUUUAAAUCAUUCACAUGACUCAAGCUAUAUAUCUUGAAUUUCACAUUUAAAUAUCUCUUAGCUUCAAGCUUUGCUCAAAUCUCAAAUUUUAAGCAUUAAACCUCUUUGAGGUAUUUUAUCAAGCAUCUUACAUUCAUAGUCUAAAUUUCUUGAUUUCAUACAUGUUUAGGCAUGGUCUAGCCCUAAAAUUUUCAACCUUUUCACUCUAGAGUUCAUUUACUAUUUUUAUCAUACCAAUUCACAACUAAGCACAUCAAUAUAUAGCAACAAUCAACUAUUCUCUAUCUCAAUUCAUGAACUUAGUAAAUAAAACUAACUUACCUCUUUGUAGCUUGAUGUUAUGAUCAAAUCCUUGCUCCAACUUGAAAUUAGUUGAGUUAAAUUCUUCUUUUGGACUGUACCUUACUCAAUUUCUCUUCAAUUUCAGUUACCAACUUCAAUCUUUAGAGAAUUUGAUGAAUACUCAUGUUUUGGUAGUAGAGAUAUAUAUAAAAACAUAAACAAUUGUAGAAUAAGAUAUGGAACUUGAACUGAGAACUGGACUUAGAAGAGAUGGAUGGAAGAGGAGUAUGAGAAUUGUGAUUGCUGAAAAUUGGGUAUAUGCUCCUUAGUCUCUCUCUCCCACUAUCGGACCAAGUUUAGCUUUCUCAUGCUUAGUGUCCUUAAUUGGUUUAGAAAUUAGAAUAAUGACACCUCCUGCUUUCCUAAUGUGACUCAGCAACUAGCCCUCUCCCUUUUCAAUUCUGAGUACAUUUGGUUCAACU
Molecule: long non-coding RNA, 7053 nt
Filed under: Panax ginseng (ginseng)
Lineage: Eukaryota; Viridiplantae; Streptophyta; Magnoliopsida; Apiales; Araliaceae
Description: long non-coding RNA (PGIN_LNC005686)
Source: RNAcentral